RNAcentral lists this transfer RNA (73 nucleotides) under Antrostomus carolinensis (chuck-will's-widow). RNAcentral describes it as "Caprimulgus carolinensis (chuck-will's-widow) tRNA". It matches the Rfam family "tRNA". From Rfam's summary of the family: Transfer RNA (tRNA) molecules are approximately 80 nucleotides in length. The record is from Rfam by way of RNAcentral. Lineage: Eukaryota; Metazoa; Chordata; Aves; Caprimulgiformes; Caprimulgidae.
GCCCAGCUAGCUCAGUCAGUACAGCAUGGGACUCUUAAUCCCAGUGUCGUGGGUUUGAGCCCCGCAUUGGGUG